GGCCCCUUAACUCAGUUGGUAGAGUGUGAGAUUCCAAUGUUAUGACUGCGACAGCUCCGGCUGCGGCUGUGACUAUCUCAAAGUCAAGCGUUCAAGUCGCUUAGGGGUCA
Schizosaccharomyces japonicus yFS275 is the source of this 110-nucleotide non-coding RNA. NCBI's taxonomy places the organism in Eukaryota, Fungi, Ascomycota, Schizosaccharomycetes, Schizosaccharomycetales, Schizosaccharomycetaceae. The record is from the annotation of a RefSeq genome assembly.